Theobroma umbraticum is the source of this 1103-nucleotide long non-coding RNA. RefSeq lists it as uncharacterized. The record is from RefSeq and is a predicted model, not a curated record. NCBI's taxonomy places the organism in Eukaryota, Viridiplantae, Streptophyta, Magnoliopsida, Malvales, Malvaceae.
GGGUGAGAAAUUAUUCAAUUUUUUUAUUUUCAAUGAGAGAGACCUAAUUCGAUGAAACAUUAAUCCAGCAAGCUAUUUGAUUCUGUAUGGUAGUAUGAAUAAUAGUCAAACUGUUUUAAGCUAUGUUUGAAAAUACUUGAAUAUAAAGAGGAAAUUAACAAAAGUGUUGUCAAACAUGACACACAAACUUGAUUUGCUACCUCACUGGUCUAUACCUGUAACUCUAAGCAAGGCAUUAGUUGUUUUGGUGAUUGCCUGAUUUGUCUGUCUGAAAUUGAGAUGUGGUGGUACUUGUAGAGAUGACAUUGGGUAGAGGUUACAGUGGUGUAUACCUUAACGAUUAUCCUACUUUGGUAUAUUUAGUUUCUUCCCCUCAAAGACACUCAUAACUUCUUAGUUGGUAAAGAGAUUUUCUCUCUUUCGGCAAUAAAAAGGUUUGCUUCAAGCGCCUCUUUCCCCAGCUUCAGAUUCCACCACCGUCAUCAGGGCUGCCUUUCUCUUCUCCCCAAAACUCCUUCCAAAUCAUUGAGAAAGGAAAGAAUAAAAUGGCAACUGAGAAAGCCAAUUAUGAUCAGACCGUGGACACCCAGAAUUACAACGCCCAAGAGAAUUCCACAGAGCGAUCAGCUUCUAGCCAGGGAUCAGCUAAGUUCCACUUCAGUAAAGCACUUGCCCACAGAGCAGUUUAUGGUUCAAGCAGCCGCCGCAGCACCGGAAGCAGAAAGGUCAGAAACACUGACGCUAGAACAUUACCAAGUAGACUAAGCAAGGUUUCAUUGGCUGAUGAUGAUUCUGAGAACUAGCUAGGUUGACAGAAAUGUUCUCGGUGCCAUAUUAGAUGUACUACAGCUCUAAGUUAGCUACAGAAGUUUCAUUCUGUCCCAGGAAAAUGCUGGCGACCUUGUGACAUUUAGUUUGUUUGUUUUGUCAAGUUAGCGGUGCGGCAAUGCAAUGUCUCCAAUUCUUGGUAAAAGCUGAUGCUUCGAUAGAGCAUACGAUGGAGAAUUGACCCGAAUCUGCAGCCAAGAAUUCAUAAAUCCAUUCUCUCUGUAUCUGUAUCAUCAAUUAAUUCUGAGCUAAGUGUAAUAUUUGGCAUUGCUAUU